This 119-nucleotide ribosomal RNA is filed under the name Pteropus alecto (black flying fox). The record is from RNAcentral. Lineage: Eukaryota; Metazoa; Chordata; Mammalia; Chiroptera; Pteropodidae.
GUCUAUAGCCAUGCCACCCGGAAUGCACCCGAUCUCAUCUGAUCUCAGAAGCUAAGCAGGGUCGGACCUGGUUAGUACUUGGAUGGGAAACCACCUUGGAAUACUAGGUGCUGUAGGUG